GGUUGGUGUAUGAUGAGUGGACGGUCACGUUUGUCUCCCUGCAGUUAUUCCAGGUAUCAAAGGCAGAAGCCACGUGAAUGAAGAAAUUAAAUAUUUCAUGAAACUCAGGAUUUGGGCUUUGGUCAUGAGAGCCAGUCAGGAUGGUAUUUGGAAUUAGGACACAUAACCCCCAAGAAAUGCCCUUUGUUCCCUAAGCAGACCGGUUACCUAACCGCUUUAGAAUGUUCUGCAUGUUUAUUAACUAACCUGAACUAACUCAUCAACCUCUGUCAAACUGUUGCAGGAGCCUUAUGCAACCAAAAAUGGGAGGAGCCUGUUGUCAUCCCUUCAUCCAGAUGAGAUGCCCAUCGUCCAUCCUGUCUGGUCACUGGCCAGCAGGACUUGCAGGAUAAAUAUCACUACCUGAGGUUUAUUAUCUUCGUGGUUCUCAGGCUUUGCUGGAAUUUGAUUCAUCUGGGGAGAUUGUUCACCACAAAGAUGCCCAGCGCCCACCUGCAGAAGAAUCUGUUUGUAAGUAGUUUGGGAUAAAGCCCUGACUUUUGCAUAAACUUCCAUAUAAACUUUUUCUGUGAUUCUGAUGGACACUAAAUUUGGGAAAUACUGAGUUAAAGUGAUUCCUCGUGUAUUUCUGUAAAAU
This is a long non-coding RNA of Choloepus didactylus (southern two-toed sloth), 637 nucleotides long. RefSeq lists it as uncharacterized. The transcript is spliced from 4 exons. The record is from RefSeq and is a predicted model, not a curated record. NCBI's taxonomy places the organism in Eukaryota, Metazoa, Chordata, Mammalia, Pilosa, Megalonychidae.